RNAcentral lists this ribosomal RNA (456 nucleotides) under Triticum aestivum (bread wheat). RNAcentral describes it as "partial small subunit ribosomal RNA". The record is from RNAcentral. Lineage: Eukaryota; Viridiplantae; Streptophyta; Magnoliopsida; Poales; Poaceae.
AUGCGUAGACGCGCCGGCCGGACUCCAAGCGCGGUCACCUCCACCAUCUACGUGCUUCGCUGCCCACGGCAGCCCGCUCGCUGCAGCCAUGCUCCCCACGCCUCGCCUGUCCCGACAGCCCUCUCAGACUUCCUCUCUCGGGCCACAACACAACGGCGGCGGCGGCGUACAGCGGGAGUAGGCGGAGCAGGAAGACCCCUCUCCCACACGUCUCUCCCUCGACCUCCCUCAGCAGCGUCGCAACUUCUCAGCCACGGCCUCUACCCGCUGGCGGCUGGUGGCGGAAGCGAGCCGCCUGCCACAUGCCUCCUCCGCCUUUGCCGUCCUUUGAUCCCCAGCACCCUGCCUACCUUGGCCGCCGCCACCUCUCUCUCUCUCUCUCUCUCUCUCUCUCUCUCUCUGAUCCAAUUCUUACUUUUUGAUGUGCUACUUCUGUUCAUGUGGAUGGGUCGCUGA